UGAGUAUUUCCUCCGUUCGAAAAAACUUGUCUCAAACUCGUCCUUUAAAUGGAUGUAUCUAGCACUAACUUGAUGCUAGAUACAUCCAUUUGAGGAACAAACUUUUCCGCACGGAGGGAGUAUGUG
Molecule: non-coding RNA, 126 nt
Organism: Triticum urartu
Lineage: Eukaryota; Viridiplantae; Streptophyta; Magnoliopsida; Poales; Poaceae
Source: Rfam